UAAUACGGAGGAUCCAAGCGUUAUCCGGAAUUAUUGGGUUUAAAGGGUCCGUAGGUGGAUAAUUAAGUCAGUAGGUGAAAUCCUGCAGCUCAACUGUAGAAUUGCCUUUGAUACUGGUUAUCUUGAGUUAUUAUGAAGUGAUUAGAAUGUGUAGUGUAGCGGUGAAAUGCAUAGAUAUUACACAGAAUACCGAUUGCGAAGGCAGAUCACUAAUAAUCAACUGACACUGAGGGACGAAAGCGUGGGUAGCGAACAGGAUUAGAUACCCUGGUAGUCCACGCCGUAAACGAUGGUCACUAGCUGUUUGGACUUCGGUCUGAGUGGCUAAGCGAAAGUGAUAAGUGACCCACCUGGGGAGUACGUUCGCAAGAAUG
RNAcentral lists this ribosomal RNA (374 nucleotides) under uncultured Bacteroidota bacterium. Its description in RNAcentral is "bacterial SSU rRNA". It matches the Rfam family "Bacterial small subunit ribosomal RNA", at positions 521 to 896 of the family's 1533-position model. Lineage: Bacteria; Pseudomonadati; Bacteroidota. The record is from RNAcentral.